GGAUCAGGUAGGAAUACCCGCUGAACUUAAGCAUAUCAAUAAGCGGAGG
RNAcentral lists this ribosomal RNA (49 nucleotides) under Trypethelium platystomum. RNAcentral's name for it is "partial 28S ribosomal RNA". Lineage: Eukaryota; Fungi; Ascomycota; Dothideomycetes; Trypetheliales; Trypetheliaceae. The record is from RNAcentral.